This 510-nucleotide ribosomal RNA is filed under the name uncultured fungus. RNAcentral describes it as "eukaryotic LSU rRNA". It matches the Rfam family "Eukaryotic large subunit ribosomal RNA", at positions 24 to 664 of the family's 3401-position model. Lineage: Eukaryota; Fungi. The record is from RNAcentral.
CCCGCUGAACUUAAGCAUAUCAGUAAGCGGUGGAAAAGAAACUAACAAGGAUUCCCGCAGUAACUGCGAGUGAAGAGGGAUGAGCCCAGCUUUGGAAUCUGAGGCCGCUGGCUUCAGAGUUGUGGGUUGGUGAGUCGUAACUCGACGUGUGGUCCCUGCCUAACUGGCCCGGAAUGGCCGGACAUAGAGGGUGAUAUUCCUGUGUGGCGGGUGAACAUGCGUCCGGUGCGGCUCGUAGAGUCGGACUGUUUGGGAUUGCAGUUUGAAGUGGGUGGUAGACUCCAUCUAAGGCUAAAUACGAACGAGAGACCGAUAGCGAACAAGUACCGUGAGGGAAAAUUGAAAAGUGCCUUGGAAAGGGGGUGAAAAGUGCGUGAAAUUGCUGACAGGGAACCGAUUGAAGGCGCGGUGUUGGUGACUUCGGACACCAAACAGUUUCCGGCUCCCACGAGCCGGCGGAUUACGUAUUCCAAAACUGAGCGUUACCAAUCGACCCGUCUUGAAACACGG